UCGGGACGUGGCGCAGCCCGGUAGCGCACCUGAAUGGGGUUCAGGGGGUCGCCGGUUCGAAUCCGGCCGUCCCGAU
This 76-nucleotide transfer RNA is filed under the name Gemmatimonadota bacterium. RNAcentral describes it as "tRNA-Pro". It matches the Rfam family "tRNA". From Rfam's summary of the family: Transfer RNA (tRNA) molecules are approximately 80 nucleotides in length. Lineage: Bacteria; Pseudomonadati; Gemmatimonadota. The record is from RNAcentral.